Arabidopsis lyrata subsp. lyrata is the source of this 484-nucleotide long non-coding RNA. RefSeq lists it as uncharacterized. The record is from RefSeq and is a predicted model, not a curated record. The transcript has 2 exons. Lineage: Eukaryota; Viridiplantae; Streptophyta; Magnoliopsida; Brassicales; Brassicaceae.
CAAGCUCCUCAACAAAACAGAUAUGGAUGUUUCAGCAUUCAAAAUAUCUGUAGUGGACAAUAUAUCACAGGCUGAAAAGAUUGAAGAUACUGGGAUGUACAUGAUGAAGAUGAUGGAAUGCUAUGCUAUGCAUAUUAAUGCAAAUGAGAAACUUUCAGAAGGAAAAAUUGGAGACAUGAGAAAGAAACUUGCGGUUGACAUCUUUACAGAAAUAACAGAUUUCUAGGUAAGACUUCUCUCAGGUUUUAACAUGUAAAUUAAAAACCUACAACUAAGCUUAUAUUUCUUGAUUUAUUACUUUGAUCAGGGGCUAAUUGUAAGAGCUGGGAAGAAAAGAUUGCUGGGGAAAAAUGAUCUAUUCUUUUUGAAGAAAACGUUGCUGUUUUACAAAUUUUUAAUUUUUGCUGAGAAUAUCUGUAGUGAUUUUCGCAUGAAUUUUACUUUGUAUAACUCUCUAGUUGUGAAUUUAAGUUUUUUUUUUCUA